RNAcentral lists this small RNA (75 nucleotides) under Klebsiella michiganensis. Its description in RNAcentral is "isrK". It matches the Rfam family "isrK Hfq binding RNA". Lineage: Bacteria; Pseudomonadati; Pseudomonadota; Gammaproteobacteria; Enterobacterales; Enterobacteriaceae. The record is from RNAcentral.
GCUGUAGCAAAAUCUGCAGCCGGGCGUGAGAACCCGCGAGACAAUCAGCGCACAACACGCGCUUGCGUGUUUUUU